CCUACGGGAGGCAGCAGUGGGGAAUCUUGCGCAAUGCGCGAAAGCGUGACGCAGCAACGCCGCGUGGGGGAAGACGGCCUUCGGGUUGUAAACCUCUUUCAGGGGGGACGAAGCCCGAGCGGUGAACAGCCGCUUCGGGUGACGGUACCUCCACAAGAAGCCCCGGCUAACUACGUGCCAGCAGCCGCGGUAAUACGUAGGGGGCUAGCGUUGUCCGGAAUCAUUGGGCGUAAAGAGCGUGUAGGCGGUCCGGUAAGUCCGCUGUGAAAGUCAGGGGCUCAACCCUUGAAUGCCGGCGGAUACUGCCGGGCUAGAGUCCGGAAGAGGCGAGUGGAAUUCCCGGUGUAGCGGUGAAAUGCGCAGAUAUCGGGAGGAACACCUAUGGCGAAGGCAGCUCGCUGGGACGGUACUGACGCUGAGACGCGAAAGCGUGGGGAGCA
This 440-nucleotide ribosomal RNA is filed under the name uncultured bacterium. RNAcentral's name for it is "bacterial SSU rRNA". It matches the Rfam family "Bacterial small subunit ribosomal RNA", at positions 338 to 770 of the family's 1533-position model. The record is from RNAcentral.